AUUGAACGCUGGCGGCAGGCUUAACACAUGCAAGUCGAGCGGAGUGAUGGUGCUUGCACUAUCACUUAGCGGCGGACGGGUGAGUAAUGCUUAGGAAUCUGCCUAUUAGUGGGGGACAACAUCUCGAAAGGGAUGCUAAUACCGCAUACGUCCUACGGGAGAAAGCAGGGGAUCACUUGUGACCUUGCGCUAAUAGAUGAGCCUAAGUCGGAUUAGCUAGUUGGUGGGGUAAAGGCCUACCAAGGCGACGAUCUGUAGCGGGUCUGAGAGGAUGAUCCGCCACACUGGGACUGAGACACGGCCCAGACUCCCACGGGAGGCAGUAGUGGGGAAUAUUGGACAAUGGGGGGAACCCUGAUCCAGCCAUGCCGCGUGUGUGAAGAAGGCCUUAUGGUUGUAAAGCACUUUAAGCGAGGAGGAGGCUCUUUUGGUUAAUACCCAAGAUGAGUGGACGUUACUCGCAGAAUAAGCACCGGCUAACUCUGUGCCAGCCGCCGCCGUAA
This 503-nucleotide ribosomal RNA is filed under the name uncultured bacterium. RNAcentral's name for it is "partial 16S ribosomal RNA". It matches the Rfam family "Bacterial small subunit ribosomal RNA", at positions 30 to 523 of the family's 1533-position model. The record is from RNAcentral.